AAAUAUGUGUUUAAGCCCGUCCUACAAAAGCCCGGAAAAAAAAAGGCGCGGGACAAGUAUAGUUGAGGGUGUGGACCUAAAUUCUUGGCCCACCCUCCGAAAAAAUGAGGGUGGUAGGGGCUGGCAUGCGGGUUUUGCACUCCUAAAGGCUAAAAAUUGCAAAAAAUCUUGUUAAUGCCCACGCCCGCAAAAAACUGAAUGGGGCAGGACGGACAUAUUAGAUGGGCCGGACUUUAAAUCUUGGUCCGCUUUGCGAAAAAAUGUAGACAAAACGGGCACGCCCGGCGGACCGGGCUCGUUUUUCCAUCCCUAAUCUCAGCAUUGAACAAUCUUUUCUGUUAUUAACUUACUCAUCAACAACUCGCCAUUCCCUCAAAAUAUUUAGUCAAUUUCUGCCACUGUCCUGCACCAUCAUCAUACAAUAUCUUAUUUAUCCUCCAUAGUUCUUAGAAUGCUGAGACUUUUGAUGGCCAUACCACCUAUUAGUGGAACACAUUCUAUUCUACCAUUCUAGACCUCAUGAAAAACAGGGAAAUAACAUUAAAGUUCUGAAGGUAUGUCUAGCAUGAAGAAAGAAGAAAAGGGGGAAAGGAGUUUCACCAUUUACAAUACUCUCACUUAUCCUUCAGCAUCCAUAUAGGGCUUAAUGGGCAAUGAAAUCAUUGAAUACUCUUCAGUUUGGUAUUUUGGUUGCUAAAUAGAAUAGCAAAAAUAUCAACAAACUCAUAGUGAUUCCGAACAUUACUUUAACUAAAACCAUCUAAAAUAAUUUGUUAAAUAAAUAAUAGCAAUAUGAACUAUAACUUUUCAAUAAGGCACAUCUAGAAGCAAAUCUAUUCACCUUUCAGAAUUUCAUACCUUUUCUUGAUAGAUGACUCCAACAUUCCACGGUAGUAGAUGUUGACAAAUUUCUUGCUAUCAAAACUAAAGUCAAUUCAUGGAAGUACAUAUAGCAACUUGAACAAUUCUAAUCAUUCAAAUCAAGGGAGUUACAGUUAUAUACAUCCACACUUUAGUUCUAUCAUAAUCCAAUUGUAAAAGCAUAAAAAUCCAGAUCCAAAACUUCUCAUGAUAACAAACACAGGGGCGUUAAGAAUGUAAUAUUCAGCCCCUGAAGAAGAUUGAAUGCUAGCAGCAAUACAGCACAACAAGAAAAACCUCAAACAUCUAACAGCAAUACUAGAUUUAAAAUUGCAUAGCUCAAACUUCCAUUUGCUUGAGAGAAACACGACUUUGUUAAAAAAAAGGUUAUGGUUCAUUGUUAAUAAAAAAUAAAAAGCUUGCUCCAAAAUGAACAUUUGUUUAAAAGUAAAAAAUGUAACUCUAAGUAUAGUUGAAAAUUUCACAUUAUUUUCCCCCACAAACCUACUUUAACAAUAGUAAUUUUUCAAUUGUCUGCAAAUGCUAACUCAACUGAUAAAUCUCGUCAACCAUAAACCAUAAACCAGCUCAAUCGAAACAAACACUUAAAACAAUCAAUUUUCAAAAUCAAGAUUAUAUAAAAUCAAAUUUGCAACCACUCACUCAAACAAACAAGCAAUAAAAAGUAAAAACCCUAGUUUUAAAGUUCUACACUGCACUUAUAAGCUAUUGAAACUGUUUUCCUUUUCGGAUUUGAGAAUUCUUAAUUAUUUCAAUAAACAAUCAAAUUUAUUGCAUUAUACAUAAAAUCCCAAUGUAAAUUAAUCUUAGAGAUAAAAACUUCCAAAUAUAAAUCACUUCAUUUAAAUAUUAUUUCAAGAAAAUCAAUUAUAUAUAUAUAAUAAUUAUAUAAUAUAUAUAUUAUAAUAUAUAUAUAUAUAUAUAGAUAGAUAUAUAUAUAUAUAUAUGAUCAUCCAAAAUCAAAUUUACAAACCCUCAACCAAAAACACAAAAUUGAAAAAUCCAUGAUUCAUGAUCUCCACAUAGCUUUUGAGCUUUUAAUACUUUUAUUUUUAUUGAAGAACAAAAAAAAUCAAAAUCCAUAAGACAAAAAGAUAAGAAAAAGGACAAAAGCAUAGUAGUAAGAUCUGGAAUAUUUGAAAAUCAAAAUCUGAAAGUAAUACUAGCAACAAGAAUAAUGAAUAAAUAAUAAGAAAGAAGAGUUUGUUUUGAAGAUUUAGAAGCAGGUAGAAAAUAAGAAAAAAAAAAGCAUACCUUGAAUUGAAGAUGUUAGAAUUUGUUGUUAAUGAAUGGUUAGAAGAGAAGAGGUUAGAUCUUUGAUGGCGAAUUGCAUGUGUUCUUGUUAUCUGGUUAGAUCUAUUUGCGGUGAGUGGUGAAUUGUGAUUUGUGUGUUUAAGAGAGAGAAAGAUGUAGUCAAAGAGAAAAAGAUGGGAGAGGAUUGAAUAUUCACCAAUAAAACUAGUGUUUUAGAAAGAG
This 2358-nucleotide long non-coding RNA is filed under the name Lathyrus oleraceus (garden pea). RNAcentral describes it as "Pisum sativum (pea) long non-coding RNA (PSAT_LNC022649)". Lineage: Eukaryota; Viridiplantae; Streptophyta; Magnoliopsida; Fabales; Fabaceae. The record is from RNAcentral.